Molecule: transfer RNA, 71 nt
Filed under: Marmota monax (woodchuck)
Lineage: Eukaryota; Metazoa; Chordata; Mammalia; Rodentia; Sciuridae
Description: tRNA.Ala
Source: RNAcentral
GGGCUGGGGCUCAAGUGGUAGAGCGCUUGCCUAGCAUGCAUGAGGCACUGGGUUCAAUCCUUAGCAUCACA